UGAGGAAUAUUGGUCAAUGGGCGAGAGCCUGAACCAGCCAAGUAGCGUGCAGGAUGACGGCCCUAGGGGUUGUAAACUGCUUUUAUGUGGGGAUAAAGUGCGUGACGUGUCAUGCAUUGCAGGUACCACAUGAAUAAGGACCGGCUAAUUCCGUGCCAGCAGCCGCGGUAAUACGGAAGGUCCGGGCGUUAUCCGGAUUUAUUGGGUUUAAAGGGAGCGUAGGCUGUCUAUUAAGCGUGUUGUGAAAUUUACCGGCUCAACCGGUGGCUUGCAGCGCGAACUGGUCGACUUGAGUAUGCAGGAAGUAGGCGGAAUUCAUGGUGUAGCGGUGAAAUGCUUAGAUAUCAUGACGAACUCCGAUUGCGCAGGCAGCUUACUGUAGCAUAACGGACGCUGAUGCUCGAAAGUGCGGGUAUCAAACAGG
Molecule: ribosomal RNA, 424 nt
Filed under: Fusobacteriota bacterium
Lineage: Bacteria; Fusobacteriati; Fusobacteriota
Description: Fusobacteria bacterium partial 16S ribosomal RNA
Rfam family: Bacterial small subunit ribosomal RNA
Source: RNAcentral